CCUGGCUCAGAUUGAACGCUGGCGGCAUGCUUUACACAUGCAAGUCGAACGGCAGCGCGGGGCAACCUGGCGGCGAGUGGCGAACGGGUGAGUAAUAUAUCGGAACGUACCCAGAAGUGGGGGAUAACGUAGCGAAAGUUACGCUAAUACCGCAUACGAUCUACGGAUGAAAGUGGGGGACCUUCGGGCCUCAUGCUUGUGGAGCGGCCGAUAUCUGAUUAGCUAGUUGGUGAGGUAAAGGCUCACCAAGGCGACGAUCAGUAGCUGGUCUGAGAGGACGACCAGCCACACUGGGACUGAGACACGGCCCAGACUCCUACGGGAGGCAGCAGUGGGGAAUUUUGGACAAUGGGCGCAAGCCUGAUCCAGCAAUGCCGCGUGAGUGAAGAAGGCCUUCGGGUUGUAAAGCUCUUUUGUCAGGGAAGAAACGGCUCAGGCUAAUAUCCUGGGCUAAUGACGGUACCUGAAGAAUAAGCACCGGCUAACUACGUGCCAGCAGCCGCGGUAAUACGUAGGGUGCAAGCGUUAAUCGGGAAUUACUGGGCGUAAAGCGUGCGCAGGCGGUUUUGUAAGUCUGACGUGAAAUCCCCGGGCUCAACCUGGGAAAUUGCGUUGGAGACUGCAAGGCUGGAGUCUGGCAGAGGGGGGUAGAAUUCCACGUGUAGCAGUGAAAUGCGUAGAGAUGUGGAGGAACACCGAUGGGCGAAAGGCAGCCUCCCUGGGUCAAGACUGACGCCUCAUGCACGAAAGCCGUGGGGGAGCAAAACAGGAUUAAGAUACCCUGG
This 785-nucleotide ribosomal RNA is filed under the name uncultured bacterium. Its description in RNAcentral is "bacterial SSU rRNA". It matches the Rfam family "Bacterial small subunit ribosomal RNA", at positions 18 to 790 of the family's 1533-position model. The record is from RNAcentral.